GUACUGCGGAAGGAUCAUUA
This 20-nucleotide ribosomal RNA is filed under the name Amauroderma schomburgkii. RNAcentral describes it as "partial 18S ribosomal RNA". Lineage: Eukaryota; Fungi; Basidiomycota; Agaricomycetes; Polyporales; Polyporaceae. The record is from RNAcentral.